UUUUUGAUUUCUCGCACAAGUUUAAAUUAUCCCGCGCAAAAUACAAGAUUGAAUUGCAAGUUGCUUGGUUUCAUCUGUGACCUGGACACGUAAGAGUAAUUAUUAACACCCGACAGCCAAUUGAAUAAUGAUCACCUACGUGGUGUAAAAGGUGUAAAA
Molecule: long non-coding RNA, 159 nt
Organism: Frieseomelitta varia
Lineage: Eukaryota; Metazoa; Arthropoda; Insecta; Hymenoptera; Apidae
Exons: 2
Source: RefSeq, a predicted model, not a curated record